UGCGUCGAGCGGUAGCACAGAAGCUUGCUCUCGGGUGACGAGCGGCGGACGGGUGAGUAAUGUCUGGGAAACUGCCUGAUGGAGGGGGAUAACUACUGGAAACGGUAGCUAAUACCGCAUAAUGUCGCAAGACCAAAGUGGGGGACCUUCGGGCCUCAUGCCAUCAGAUGUGCCCAGAUGGGAUUAGCUAGUAGGUGGGGUAACGGCUCACCUAGGCGACGAUCCCUAGCUGGUCUGAGAGGAUGACCAGCCACACUGGAACUGAGACACGGUCCAGACUCCUACGGGAGGCAGCAGUGGGGAAUAUUGCACAAUGGGCGCAAGCCUGAUGCAGCCAUGCCGCGUGUGUGAAGAAGGCCUUCGGGUUGUAAAGCACUUUCAGCGGGGAGGAAGGCGNUAGGUUAAUAACCUNNUCGAUUGACGUUACCCGCAGAAGAAGCACCGGCUAACUCCGUGCCAGCAGCCGCGGUAAUACGGAGGGUGCAAGCGUUAAUCGGAAUUACUGGGCGUAAAGCGCACGCAGGCGGUCUGUCAAGUCGGAUGUGAAAUCCCCGGGCUCAACCUGGGAACUGCAUUCGAAACUGGCAGGCUAGAGUCUUGUAGAGGGGGGUAGAAUUCCAGGUGUAGCGGUGAAAUGCGUAGAGAUCUGGAGGAAUACCGGUGGCGAAGGCGGCCCCCUGGACAAAGACUGACGCUCAGGUGCGAAAGCGUGGGGAGCAAACAGGAUUAGAUACCCUGGUAGUCCACGCCGUAAACGAUGUCGAUUUGGAGGUUGUGCCCUUGAGGCGUGGCUUCCGGAGCUAACGCGUUAAAUCGACCGCCUGGGGAGUACGGCCGCAAGGUUAAAACUCAAAUGAAUUGACGGGGGCCCCACAAGCGGUGGAGCAUGUGGUUUAAUUCGAUGCACGCGAAAACCUUACCUGGUCUUGACAUCCACAGAACUUUCCAGAAUGGAGGUGCCUUCGGACUGUGAGACAGGUGCUGCAUGGCUGUCGUCAGCUCGUGUUGUGAAAUGUUGGGUUAAGUCCCAACGAGCCACCCUAUCCUUUGUUGCCAGCGGUCGCGGG
RNAcentral lists this ribosomal RNA (1067 nucleotides) under Klebsiella pneumoniae. Its description in RNAcentral is "bacterial SSU rRNA". It matches the Rfam family "Bacterial small subunit ribosomal RNA", at positions 56 to 1135 of the family's 1533-position model. The record is from RNAcentral. Lineage: Bacteria; Pseudomonadati; Pseudomonadota; Gammaproteobacteria; Enterobacterales; Enterobacteriaceae.